RNAcentral lists this long non-coding RNA (240 nucleotides) under Elaeis guineensis (African oil palm). Its description in RNAcentral is "long non-coding RNA (EGUI_LNC049284)". The record is from RNAcentral. Lineage: Eukaryota; Viridiplantae; Streptophyta; Magnoliopsida; Arecales; Arecaceae.
CAUCCUAGGGAUGAAGAUCUAUAGGGAUGAUCUAGAAGGUUGCUUGGAUUAUCCCAAUCUACGUAUAUUGAUACCAUGUUGAAACGGUUCAACAUGAAAAAUUUCAAGAAAGACAUCUUCUGAUAGAUCAUGAAAUUACUCUCUCCAAGAAGGAUUAUCGACAACCCUUGAGGAGAGAGAGCGUAUGAGUAGAAUAUCAUAUACUUCGAUAGUGAGAUCUAUUAUGUACACCAUAACAUG